GACGAACGUUGGCGGCGUGCUUAACACAUGCAAGUCGAACGGAAAGGCCCUGCUUUUGUGGGGUGCUCGAGUGGCGAACGGGUGAGUAACACGUGAGUAACCUGCCCUUGACUUUGGGAUAACUUCAGGAAGCUGGGGCUAAUACCGGAUAGGAGCUCCUGCUGCAUGGUGGGGGUUGGAAAGUUUCGGCGGUUGGGGAUGGACUCGCGGCUUAUCAGCUUGUUGGUGGGGUAGUGGCUUACCAAGGCUUUGACGGGUAGCCGGCCUGAGAGGGUGACCGGCCACAUUGGGACUGAGAUACGGCCCAGACUCCUACGGGAGGCAGCAGUGGGGAAUAUUGCACAAUGGGCGGAAGCCUGAUGCAGCAACGCCGCGUGCGGGAUGACGGCCUUCGGGUUGUAAACCGCUUUCGCCUGUGACGAAGCGUGAGUGACGGUAAUGGGUAAAGAAGCACCGGCUAACUACGUG
RNAcentral lists this ribosomal RNA (468 nucleotides) under uncultured bacterium. RNAcentral's name for it is "partial 16S ribosomal RNA". It matches the Rfam family "Bacterial small subunit ribosomal RNA", at positions 28 to 507 of the family's 1533-position model. The record is from RNAcentral.